UAAAUGACAUCGAAAAGAAGAGUAGCAGUUAGGUGCUUGAAGAGAGUCUCUGGUAGGUGAAAAGAGACAGCCACUGAUUGUGAACCACAUCUUGGAGUCGGUUUUCUGAAAAACACAGUAAGAAAAUCCGGGAAGCCCGUUAUAGCUACGGUCGUUGUUAGACGACUAGAUAAGGUUAGUUUUGUGAGAAACUAAUAAAAAAAGGUGGAACCACGUAUUGAACGUCCUUUGA
RNAcentral lists this non-coding RNA (232 nucleotides) under Enterococcus sp. RNAcentral describes it as "T-box sequence". It matches the Rfam family "T-box leader". Rfam says of the family: Uncharged tRNA acts as the effector for transcription antitermination of genes in the T-box leader family. T-boxes are found upstream of many aminoacyl-tRNA synthetase genes and some amino acid biosynthetic genes usually in Gram-positive bacteria. The record is from RNAcentral. Lineage: Bacteria; Bacillati; Bacillota; Bacilli; Lactobacillales; Enterococcaceae.